AACGGCGAGUGAAGCGGCAACAGCUCAAAUUUGAAAGCUGGCCUUCGGGUCCGCAUUGUAAUUUGUAGAGGAUGCUUUGGGGCAGCCGCCUGUCUAAGUUCCUUGGAACAGGACGUCAUAGAGGGUGAGAAUCCCGUAUGUGACAGGAAGUGGCACCCUAUGUAAAGCUCCUUCGACGAGUCGAGUUGUUUGGGAAUGCAGCUCUAAAUGGGAGGUAAAUUUCUUCUAAAGCUAAAUACCGGCGAGAGACCGAUAGCGCACAAGUAGAGUGAUCGAAAGAUGAAAAGCACUUUGGAAAGAGAGUUAAAAAGCACGUGAAAUUGUUGAAAGGGAAGCGCUUGCAAUCAGACUUGUCUGGGUCGUUCGGCCGGUCUUCUGACCGGUUUACUCGGCCCGUGACAGGCCAGCAUCAGUUUCGGCGGUCGGAUAAAGGCCCUGGGAAUGUGGCUCUGCCUUCGGGGAGAGUGUUAUAGCCCGGGGUGUAAUACGGCCAGCCGGGACUGAGGUCCGCGCUUCGGCUAGGAUGCUGGCGUAAUGGUUGUAAGCGGCCCGUCUUGAAACACGGACCAAGGAGUCUAACAUCUAUGCGAGUGUUCGGGUGUCAAACCCCUACGCGUAAUUAAAGUGAACGGAGGUGGGAACCGCAAGGUGCACCAUCGACCGAUCCAGAUGUCUUCGGAUGGAUUUGAGUAAGAGCAUAGCUGUUGGGACCCGAAAGAUGGUGAACUAUGCCUGAAUAGGGUGAAGCCAGAGGAAACUCUGGUGGAGGCUCGCAGCGGUUCUGACGUGCAAAUCGAUCGUCAAAUUUGGGUAUAGGGGCGAAAGACUAAUCGA
RNAcentral lists this ribosomal RNA (834 nucleotides) under Pseudosydowia phantasmae. RNAcentral describes it as "Moringomyces phantasmae partial large subunit ribosomal RNA". It matches the Rfam family "Eukaryotic large subunit ribosomal RNA", at positions 85 to 938 of the family's 3401-position model. Lineage: Eukaryota; Fungi; Ascomycota; Dothideomycetes; Dothideales; Saccotheciaceae. The record is from RNAcentral.